AGUUAAAGCCCAGUUUAAAAAGAGUCAAAAGGCCGAUAAACACAGUUCAAAACUCAAGAGUCAAGAGACACCAACCUGAGCUUGGCAGGAAAUGGGGCGGGGUUGAGUUCCUUCAUCUUUUUACAUCUUUGAUCAUGAGAUCACGUUUCUCACAUUUCGGGUAAAGUUGCCUCCUUUUCAUCUUUUGCUUAGUUUGGUUCAAAUCAAUCAAUGAGUGCCUUUGUGUUUCAUUCUGAGCUUGUUGUUAUUUUCUAAGAAAUUUUGAGCUGAUAGAUAGAGUAGGGUAGAAGAAAUGCGUGUUCAGACCGGCAAGAAGAAAAGGGUAGAAAAAAUGGGUUCGAUUGAUAGGAUCAGUGCAUUGCCUGAUGAACUAGUUCGUCACAUACUUGCCCACAUUAGAUUCUGUGAGGACCUCCGUUUUGUAACAACUUGUGGACCUCGGUUCCCAAUCUGGACUUGUACGACCGAAGAGAUUUUCCUGCUGAUGAUGAUGUUCGGCUUCGUCGCCCUCGUUGUGAUCGUUUUGCAAGGUUUGUCAGCAGUGUGCUCUAUUCAAGGGACGCAAUAGACAUAGGCAAAUUCUCUCUGUCGGUUGGCACUUGGCACACCCCAUCAUUUACCUGUCAUUGAGGAUUGGAUUUGCGCUGUUGCUAGGCGUAAUGUUGUUGAAUUACAACUUGCAUUCCAUGUGCCUAGUAUUUUUUGGAUACCUCGGUGCAUAUUCAUGUGCAAGAGACACUGAGGGUUUUGGGGCUGUACCUGUGGGAUUUCGACUUUGCUACUGAUCCUCCUACAUCAGGCUGUUUCCCAAGUCUGAAGGUCCUCCACGUUAGAGUUUCUAGUGAUAAUCUAUAUUUAAUGGGGAAGCUGUUUUCUUGCUGCCCUGUGCUUGACUAUUGACGGAAAAGUGAAAAAUGGAGACACUGAUAUAGGUUACAAUUUCAAUGUUUCUGUGCCUCAAGUGAAGACGCUGAACAUAAGUCUUCAACUGGGGAUGGCAAGGCCAAGAAGAGGUCAUGAGUAUGAACAGUUUGAGACUCGUAUCAAUGUUUAUAUCGAUGCCCCAAAGCUUGAAAAACUUGAUCUCAAAAAGGAUGGUUUCACAAAUUAUGUUCUCAUGGGGAGAGCCAAGUCCCUAGUUAAUGCCAGUAUUGAUGUCAGAGAUUCUAGAGCCAAAAAUCCACCUCACUUUCCCUCUUGUGCAACUGCGCUUCUGGUUGGAAUUUCUAAUGUGAAAUAUCUGUCUCUUUUGGCUCCUUGGUCAAAGGAUUGGCGUCUCCCUGCUUUUGAUCAUUUGAAACAACUACUGGGAAGUAGUUCUUGUGGAUUGCAAUUACUGGGAAGUGCUGCCUGAGUUUCUGCACUGUGCACCUAAUCUCGAAGAUUUGGUCUUAGAAAAUGUAACUGAAUGUGUGAGACAAUAUCCAAAGUGUGAAUGGGAUCUACCAAAGGAUGUGCCUAUUUGCUUGUUGUCACACCUGAAGACUAUCUCCAUAAGUGGAUUCAAGGGACAGUGGGCUGAGAGGGAGAUAGCCAAGUAUCUCUUGAAGAAUGGUUCUUUUUUGGAUAAGAUGCUGAUUUACACAGACGGUGUGUAUGCGGUACGAGACUUUCACAAGGAGUUUUCAAUGUUCCAUAGGAUGGUUAAGUUCAUUCAGAUGUAAAUUUAGAUUUCACGAGGUUUUCAGUUCAUCUCAUGGUUUUGGAAGAUCUGUAAUCAACCUUGCAGUCUCUUGGUGGAAGUUUUGGCAUGCUUGUUAGAGACUGGGGAAAACAUCCUCAAUUGCAGAAAAACAGUACUGUUUGAAACUA
Long non-coding RNA from Rosa rugosa (rugosa rose), 1812 nucleotides. RefSeq lists it as uncharacterized. The record is from RefSeq and is a predicted model, not a curated record. The transcript is spliced from 3 exons. Lineage: Eukaryota; Viridiplantae; Streptophyta; Magnoliopsida; Rosales; Rosaceae.